AUUAAACGCUGGCGGCAUGCCUUACACAUGCAAGUCGAACGGCAGCACGGGGGCAACCCUGGUGGCGAGUGGCGGACGGGUGAGUAAAGCAUCGGAACGUAUCCUGGAGUGGGGGGAUAACGUAGCGAAAGUUACGCUAAUACCGCAUAUUCUGUGAGCAGGAAAGCAGGGGGAUCGCAAGACCUUGCGCUCUGGGAGCGGCCGAUGUCGGAUUAGCUAGUUGGUGGGGUAAAGGCCUACCAAGGCGACGAUCCGUAGCGGGUCUGAGAGGAUGAUCCGCCACACUGGGACUGAGACACGGCCCAGACUCCUACGGGAGGCAGCAGUGGGGAAUUUUGGGACAAUGGGCGGAAGCCUGAUCCAGCCAUGCCGCGUGAGUGAAGAAGG
RNAcentral lists this ribosomal RNA (387 nucleotides) under uncultured bacterium. RNAcentral's name for it is "bacterial SSU rRNA". It matches the Rfam family "Bacterial small subunit ribosomal RNA", at positions 29 to 414 of the family's 1533-position model. The record is from RNAcentral.